Non-coding RNA from Labrus bergylta (ballan wrasse), 312 nucleotides. Lineage: Eukaryota; Metazoa; Chordata; Actinopteri; Labriformes; Labridae. The record is from RefSeq and is a predicted model, not a curated record.
CAAUACAACUGCAGUCAUCAACCAGCAACCACCUAAGAGUACUGCAGCAUGGGCUUUAAAGACGGGCACAGUGGCCACAAAGUCGGAUCCUGAUCACGCGUGACUGGGUCGCUGUGGGAGAGUCAACACUCCAGCAUGGUGAGUUCACGGGGACAGAAGACAUCGAACUGAAGUCUCAAAAGAUGUCCAGAUGUUGAUGUGGGCUCCUUACUUCAGUAAAGAAACAUGUGCAAACAUUAUUGAUGAUAUUGUAAGUACAGUAUAUACAGUAUACGGCCUUUAGUGGCCUCUUAAUAAAAAAAUAUGACUGUU